AGCACCUUUUGUAAUGGAAUAAAACAAAGAGCCUGGAGCUUUUAUUCUAUCGGGUUACUGAAAUCAGCUUUGGGAUCUCUGAGAUGGCAGCCAGGAGAAUGGGCACGAUGUGUCCCCGUCCUGUUCCCACGCAGCUUUGAUUUCUUCCGCCGACUCUCUGUGUUCACGUAGCUUGGAGACGCUGACUAUGAUUUUCUAAUUCUUUUUCUGUGGAUUACUUGGAGCUUCCGUCGCGGCAGAGUUGGAGAGUUAGCCUCGCCAUAAGGGGAGAAGGAAGACCUGUUACAGUGGAUUUUUCCAGGAGAAAAGAAAAAGACGAGGCACUAAAGAGAGACAACAGAGUGGAGACUCAGCAGGGUGAGAGCUCCAGCCAAAUCAGUGAACCCAAGCCUUCCCCAACAAAGGGAACUUCCUGUUUACUGGCCCUGGUCCAGGCUGGCCUUUCCUGAGCAGAGCAAGGGUCCUGGAUGCAGAGUGUUGAAACUUGAAGGCUUUUGGCUCCAUUCUAGAGCUUGUCCUGUAAAAAUAGCACCACAGCUGAAAUCAUUCCCAAAAUAAACUUGGGAGCCAUGCUGCAAGCUCAGCAGUCACUGUCUGUGCGAAGUGGGCACCGCGCUUCACUCAGGAUCCAUGGCUGCCGAGGGCACCUGCCAAGCUCAGUUGCAAAGAAAUGCUCACAGGAAAAUGUCACCGCAGGGGCGAGCUCAUUCCAGCCGACGCUGGACUUCUCAGUCUUGGCGUUGGUGGCCCAAAGAGUAAAGAGGAUGAGAAUGAGUGAGGUAUAGACGAAUAAAGAUCCUUCUUAAUAGCGAGGAACA
Molecule: long non-coding RNA, 818 nt
Filed under: Monodelphis domestica (gray short-tailed opossum)
Lineage: Eukaryota; Metazoa; Chordata; Mammalia; Didelphimorphia; Didelphidae
Description: lncRNA (ENSMODG00000045933.1)
Source: RNAcentral